AUGUUAUUUUAUCCUUACUGUCGUUAUUUUAAAUCGAAGUUGUCUGACUUUAUUUUUUUCAUAAUUAAAAUAGUCGCAACUUCAGUUUAUGUGAAGAAGGUAAGAAAAUGGAAGAAGGAAGAAAGGAUAGUAUUAGGUAGAUACUGGGAAGAGAGCUUUGAGAUGAUCGAUGAGAGCAGUGAGAUUGUUGUGUGAGGAUCCACCUUCUUGAACAGCUCUCCAAGCUUUAUCUUGCAUUUCCUUCGCCUUCUUCCUUAUCUU
Molecule: long non-coding RNA, 261 nt
Filed under: Vigna radiata
Lineage: Eukaryota; Viridiplantae; Streptophyta; Magnoliopsida; Fabales; Fabaceae
Description: long non-coding RNA (VRAD_LNC009540)
Source: RNAcentral